UACAGUUUAUGCUAUUUAAAAUUCUCAUAUCCUGAAUAAGAAAAUAAUUUAAUGUGUCUGUAGUUGAGCUGCUUACUUGACACUAAUUGCAGAGUUACUUAGUUUCUGUAACUACCGAUGUCUCAUUCUCAUUUGUUUAAAUCCUAAAUAAUUAAAAUGUGUUCACAGGUUUAGUUGCAAAGGUUGACAUCUUACAACCUAAACAGACCAAGGACGGGGUCCUGCUGCAGUGUCUGGUUUCAGAUGCGUCUCCUGAUUUUCAACUGAAAAUCUCCUGGUUCGACAGCUCUGGAAACAAACUCAAUUCACAAUUAGAGAAAAAAAAAAAUGGAGAACUCCACAUCCUCCAAACUACUGUGACCAAGAGUGAUACUUAUCGCUGUGAUGCAACAAUGGAGGAACUUAGUCAUCAGAUUGAUGAUAAUGUCACUGUCACAGAUAAAGACUUAAUCAACACAUCAGGGUCAAACAUCCCAUUGAUCAUUGGAUUGGUUGUCGCAGGUGUGGCUCUUAUAAUUGUGGCUGUAUUUAUAUAUAAACGCUGUUAGAAAAACAGGUCAGGGGAGAUGUACAAAAUGUAACUUCCAGACAUCUUGUUGGGACAUUGAAUCCAGACCGGGAUGUGACACAGAACCUCAUCUGGACUUUGUUUUAGUGUCCACAUGCCUCAACCUAACAUGAUGUUACAGUGAUUUUAUUUCACAUUGUCUUAGUUCACCCUGUGUUUACCUGAACAGGUGUUCGGUUUUGUUUUUUCUGUUUUCAGUCCAUGUUGAUGUAAAUGUCUGACGUCACUAUAAACAGACAUUGAUGAUUCUGCAGGAACCUGAUGGUAAAACCUUCCAGCUUCACGUAAACACAGGCUGCAGAACCAUUGGUGAAUAUGAUUAUUUACAUUAUUGUGCAGCUUUGAAGUCAAAUGUAACUUGAGUUGCUGUUAAAAGCAUUUAAAGGAUUUUACCAACAUAUUUCUGCUUCAAUUCCAAAUAUUUCACCUGAUGAAAUAUAUAAUUAAAUAUGUAUUUUAUGUGAAGAAGCAGCUGAGGUUUAACUAUAAACAAGUGAGCGACCCUGAGACCUGAACAGAGGAACCAGCUGGAGGAAACAGUCGUUCCUCGUUUAAAGUGAUCAGAGGCUUAAUUGAUUCAUUGGCUUAAAGUUGAUGUUUAUAAUGUGAAUAUUUAGCAGCUACAUUCAACAAAAUGUGACUUUUGUUUAAUGGUUCCUUCUUUUCUGUAUAAAGUGUUGGUCCAAAGUCUGAACAUGUUCAUGUGGUUAACAGUACAGUUACAGUUAGCAUUUAGUCGUUUUUAUUUUUUUAACUUCAGCUUUUUCAGAGUUUGUCAUGUUAAUUCAUUUUCAUGAUGUAACAUUUCUAUAAUUUAUCUAUUUAGUGUCAGAUACAAUUUUUAUGCUACAAUAUAUGUUUGAUUUAGUUCAGAUACUGUUUAUAACUGUUAUAAUGUUAGUUCAGAUUCAGGUUUUACUUGAGAUCAGAUUGUUUCGUAGAGAAAUUAAAAUAGUUUCUGUUUGUCUCAUAACAAAUAUUUGUCAUAAUUAAAUAAUCUUUACUGUGCAAACAUUUAAUUAAAUAAUAUACUCAAA
Betta splendens (Siamese fighting fish) is the source of this 1605-nucleotide long non-coding RNA. RefSeq lists it as uncharacterized. Lineage: Eukaryota; Metazoa; Chordata; Actinopteri; Anabantiformes; Osphronemidae. The transcript is spliced from 4 exons. The record is from RefSeq and is a predicted model, not a curated record.